Canis lupus familiaris (dog) is the source of this 1591-nucleotide long non-coding RNA. RefSeq lists it as uncharacterized. The record is from RefSeq and is a predicted model, not a curated record. NCBI's taxonomy places the organism in Eukaryota, Metazoa, Chordata, Mammalia, Carnivora, Canidae. The transcript is spliced from 4 exons.
AGUAUGUUUCUAGGUAGAGAAGAAACUUAACGAGCUUAGCAUUGUGGGGCAUAAUUAUCAGACUUUAGGCUUUCCAAAAAUGUCUAGUGUAACCUUGGUAACCAUUUGAACUGUCUUUGGUGCUGAACUACACAGUUUGGGGAAGACGGUAUUUUGUUCUCCCCCUGAAACAAUGGGACUUUCAUUUAUUUGGAAGGUCUCCCUCUUCCCAGGAUACAGUAGUUCUCAAUAUUCUUGGUCAAAUAUACGUCAUUUUCAGUUUUUUUGCUUUACUUUUAUUGUGACUCUAUGAAGAGAAGCGGGACCACAGCAGGAUUUGAGUCUUGAGAACCAGAAGGGGGCCGUGAUCCCCACCUUGCAGUGCCUCUUCUAUUCCCCAGCCAUCCCUCUUCUUCAUCUCUUGGUGUUUCUCAAGGCCUCUGCCCUGCCUCUUCAACUAACUCCCCACCGCGGUCCACCCACACACUCUUCUGAAAAUGGUGUUUACCUGGACCGUUACAAGUUCUGGAGUCUACAAACUCAAAAUGAAGGAGUCAACACAGUCCUAACCCUUCUGAAGACUCUACAGAAGAAUUAUUUGCCUCAUUCUAUCUUCUUAUGGUCACUGACAAUCCCUGGGAUUUUUCUGGCUUGUAGAUGCAUCAUUCCAAUCAUUACUUCCAUUUUUAUGUGUUAUUCUUCCUGUGAAUUGAUGUCUCUGUGCCAAUUUUUUCCUUUUCUUAUAAGAUUGCCAUUCAUAUAGGAUUUUAGGGCCUGCUGUAAUUCAGUAAGACUUCAUCUUAACUUCAUUAUAUCUAUAAUGACCUAUUUGCAAAUAAGUUCACACUCAAAGGUUCUGGGUGAGUGGUGAAUGUUGGGGAAACACUAUUAUAGCUGAUAUAGUCCCCAAGGUCUCACUUCUGAUGCCAAGGACAGAUCUCAUGGUCUACAUGAUUAUUUUCAGGUUCUACUCAUAGUAGUAGUCUAUUACAACAAAAAGAUACAGAUGAAAAUCAGCAGAGGGAAGAGGCACAUAGGGCAAAGCCCUGGAGAUACCAAGGUAUAGAGCUUCCGGUUGUUCUCUCCUAGUGAACUCUUGCACAGAAGAAACUAUUUUUCCAAGCAAUAAUAUGAGGCAAUAUAAGUAGACUAUGCCAAUCUUGGAAGCUUACCUUAGCCUUAGUGUCAAGAGUUUUUACUAGGGCUGGAUCACAUAGAAAUGGUUGCUCAUGCACAUAGUUGACCUUGGUUUCCAGACCCUUUAGGGGUCAAACUGAUAUGAUGUGGCUCAACGUUCUCCACUAUAAAUCACAUUGUUAGCAGAGAUUAUGCAGAGAAGCCAUAGGCCUCCAACUAAACAAAGAUACUCCUAUAAGGUAGGCAAUACAAAGGCUUGGACAUUACUUCACAGGAGCUGAGGCUAAAGGUUAAAUUUCUCUUUGGACAAAGAUAGUCCCCUACUAGACAAAUUUUGACUAGUAUUAAUUGAACUAUAAAGGUCAAUUUGGGAGACCUUGAUGUCUAAACAAUAUUGAUCCUCCUAAUCCAUGAUCAUGGUAUGUGUCUUCAUCUAUUAAAUCUUAAGUUAUAUAAACCAGCUUUAUAAUUUUAA